Non-coding RNA from Paramuricea clavata, 2175 nucleotides. The record is from the annotation of a GenBank genome assembly. NCBI's taxonomy places the organism in Eukaryota, Metazoa, Cnidaria, Anthozoa, Malacalcyonacea, Plexauridae.
AUAGCGUUAGGAAUUGAUACCAUAAAGUUUUUUUAAAUCUGAAAUCUAAAUUGCAUUAAAUUAAUUUUUAUUCUUUCAGAAUGCAGUGUCCAAUCUGCCACGAAAGUUUUGCACAUAAAAUGGGGAAAGGUAAAAAGUUCUGAACGAUAUUAGGCGUUCAAACGGACUGGGAAUAGAUUGAGUUUUGUUAUAUAGAUUGACAAUUAUGUUGCACUAAUUAAAAUGCAUUAAAAAUAUUAUAAAACGACGUGAAUCAUACUUUAUCAUAUAUUCUAUCAUAUAUCUAGAUUUCGUAAUUAGGUGCAUUUACCACGCAAUAGUUCAAAAGUAUGGAUCUAGUGUAUAGUAUUUACCAACAAGCUGCCUUUGUUUAUUAUAGUUUGUAUCAAAAUAUUGAAUUAUACAGUAAUAUCUAUAGUUCAUUGUGUCGGAACUAUCCGAAGCUCUUCAUCACCAGGCUUGUACUCUUGUAGCACAGAGAAGUGAUACACAGAGAGGCAGGGAUGCCGGAAGUUGCUGAGGGCAAGGGGUGCAAUUGGUUAACAAGAGGGCAUUCUUAAUAAAAGGCACCAAUGAAAAUGAAAGGGCGUCAUGAUCCUACAUUCGUGUCAAUCUCCCUCCCUGUCACCAAUUUUUUUCGGACCGAAUACAAUUAUUUAGGCACAAUUCCUCCGUAAUUUCUCGCCAAAUAUUCCAUAAGUUAUCCUUUCCGUUUCACCUUUCGCCAAAUGGAUAACAUCCUCGAGCGACGUUUAAUUCUGUCUGUUGUAAAAGUUUUGUGCACCGGUUGCACCCCUAGUCUGCACCCGCACUGCACCCACAAAGUUGAAAAUGCAAAAGGCAAGAGGUGCACUUGCACCCGCUGCACCCGUGGUUCCGGCAUCCCUGCAGAGAGGAAACAGACACCUCGAUAACCUGAAUUUUUGUGUCACGUGUUCCACGCGCCACGCAAAAUCUUCCAGCCAGUGCCGUCGCUGAAAUUUCAUAGCAAAAGAUAGGGAAAACGCCGUUCGAAAGGUGAAAAUCGCUUUUUUUUAAAAAAAUGAGAUACCCAUGGAAAUAUUGUUCAAUAAAUUAUUGUAGAAUAACGGUAAGCGAUCACUUUUAUUGAUUUCCUUUUAUUAAAAGUGUUAACAUAACAUUUUAUUUUGCGAAAGUUUGUUUUUUUCCCUAUCUACUCCUUAUUAAAAUCGUGAAAAGCACUGACUGGGAAUUUCAGAUGCUUAUGUAUAAAAAACAAAGCAGCGAAUGAUAUAAAUUCCUCAAAAUAUAACUCUUGCAUAAAAAAAACAUGUUUACUUCUAUAAUAUGUAUAGUUUUUUCCUCUGUAUGGUCAAAAUUUAAUAAAAUAGUGAAUUAAUAUAAUUUUCUAUAGUAAAUAGACUGAAUAUAUCGGCGUGACACAAUUUGCCGCGUGUUUCCUCUCUGUAUAUCUCUUCUCUGUGCUUGUAGUGACCGUUAUGACCACAGAGUAGAGACAUACAGAGACGUAACUAGUGUACCCACUUUUUUUGUGCGCAUGCUCGGCAAGUUACUAGAUGCAUGCAUCUGAUUGGAUGACGACCUGAUGACGACUCACUUUAAACUUGCUGAGCACGCGCAGUUGAUCAUUUUUCGCCCGGUCGCCUGAAAAAAAGUGGGUACAUGAUAACGUAAUCUUCCACAGUGUUUACAACGGUCAGUUACGUCGCUGUAUGUCUUAUCUACUCUGUGUUAUGACUGAACUGCGUCAUUCCGCAUUCGUCAUUCUGCCUAAACGAUGCGUCAUUCCGCAUGCCAUUCUCUCUAAACAUAGGCUACGUCAUAGACUCCAGCUGGAUUCUACAAGGAAUCUAGCUGGAGUCUAUAUCACGUAAAGAGUCUAUCACGUAAAAACCAAGAUUUUGUUGGCAUCUCACUUGAUUGAAUAAUAUAGUUCAAGGGUGUGUAGAUGGAAAUUAUCGAGUGGAAAUUUUAUAUUUAACAAAUAUAAAAAUUUUUCGUGUUGAUAUACAGUUAUAUCAACACGAGUGGAAAUUGGGAAAACGAGAAAUUGUGUGUAUAACUGUAUAUAUAACUGUAUAUCAAUACGGAAAAUGUUUUAUAUUUGUUUUAUAAUAUAGCAAAUAUAUAAGAAAUUUUUCCGACGUUUCCGCGACAUCGAGUUAUAUCAACACGGCUCUUAGCCAAUCAGCG